AUGCCGGAUGGGGUUAACGACACGUCCAUUGUGCUAAUUCCUAAAGUGCCACACCCGAGAGAGCUGAAGGAUUUCCGGCCCAUUAGUUUGUGCAAUGUGGUGUAUAAGAUCGUGUCAAAGUGCACGGUAAAUAGGCUUCGGCCUCUCUUAACUGAGCCUAUUUAUAAAAAUCAAAGUGCCUUCAUCCCUGGGAGGCUCAUCGCUGAUAAUUCCAUCAUUGCGUUUGAGUGCAUUCAUCACAUCCAAACAGCCAAUGCAAAUUCUACACUGCUGUGUGCUUACAAACUGGACUUGUCAAAGGCUUACGACCGUGUUGAUUGGAACUUCCUGGAGAGGGCUCUUUCUAAGUGGGGAUUCUUCGAUGAAUGGAUCUCCCGCGUUAUGGCAUGCGUUACAUCAGUGAAGUACUCAGUGAAAUUCAAUGGGAAAUUGUUGGAGCCCUUCUCCCCCUCGAGAGGGCUCCACCAAGGUGAUCCGUUAUCCCCCUUCCUCUUCCUCUUUGUGGCUGAUGCUCUUUCUAUUCAUUUGAAUAAGUCAGUGAGAGAAGAAGGAUUACAAGGGGUCAAGAUAUGCAGGGGUGCUCCGGUUAUAUCACACCUUUUGUUUGCGGAUGACUCACUUCUGUUUUUUCACGCAUCAGAACAGCAAGCUAAUUUAGUUAAAGGUGUGUUGAACACGUAUACGUCGGCGACUUGA
This 696-nucleotide ribosomal RNA is filed under the name Triticum aestivum (bread wheat). Its description in RNAcentral is "partial small subunit ribosomal RNA". The record is from RNAcentral. Lineage: Eukaryota; Viridiplantae; Streptophyta; Magnoliopsida; Poales; Poaceae.